UAGGGAAUCUUCCACAAUGGACGCAAGUCCGAUGGAGCAACGCCGCGUGAGUGAAGAAGGUCUUCGGAUCGUAAAACUCUGUUGUUAGAGAAGAACACGAGUGAGAGUAACUGUUCAUUCGAUGACGGUAUCUAACCAGCAAGUCACGGCUAACUACGUGCCAGCAGCCGCGGUAAUACGUAGGUGGCAAGCGUUGUCCGGAUUUAUUGGGCGUAAAGGGAACGCAGGCGGUCUUUUAAGUCUGAUGUGAAAGCCUUCGGCUUAACCGGAGUAGUGCAUUGGAAACUGGAAGACUUGAGUGCAGAAGAGGAGAGUGGAACUCCAUGUGUAGCGGUGAAAUGCGUAGAUAUAUGGAAGAACACCAGUGGCGAAAGCGGCUCUCUGGUCUGUAACUGACGCUGAGGUUCGAAAGCGUGGGUAGCAAACAGGAUUAGAUACCCUGGUAGUCCACGCCGUAAACGAUGAAUGCUAGGUGUUGGAGGGUUUCCGCCCUUCAGUGCCGCAGCUAACGCAAUAAGCAUUCCGCCUGGGGAGUACGACCGCAAGGUUG
RNAcentral lists this ribosomal RNA (550 nucleotides) under uncultured bacterium. RNAcentral describes it as "bacterial SSU rRNA". It matches the Rfam family "Bacterial small subunit ribosomal RNA", at positions 355 to 896 of the family's 1533-position model. The record is from RNAcentral.